RNA transcript from Mastomys coucha (southern multimammate mouse), 1352 nucleotides. It is a transcript of the gene named rho GTPase-activating protein 20-like, with no coding region annotated. The transcript is spliced from 10 exons. Lineage: Eukaryota; Metazoa; Chordata; Mammalia; Rodentia; Muridae. The record is from RefSeq and is a predicted model, not a curated record.
UUUCAGUUCAAUAAUUUUUGAAAAAAAUUUGAAGCCACUAAGUAUAAGGGAAGGAAAUGCAUGUGUCACUUUCUCAGAUGGCCUGAGCCACAGACUAGUGACAUCACAAUGGUCCUUCAGCCUGACUACUACAGAGGCCUCAGAUUUCAGUAGUUUGUCUACCAAAUGCAGUCACAAGUUUGGUGUUCAGGAGUAGGAAGGCAAAAUAAAAUUCCAAGUCUAUUGAAUGUGCCUCCCUUCCAGGCUCCACAGAAAAGGUAGAGACCUGGAAGAGAAGUAUGUUAUUUUUUCUAAAUGGAAACCCCUGAAAAGGAAGACAUGGAAGAAUUACAUCGAAUCUUGCUGUGCCAAGGUCCCAUGGAACUCAAAAGCAGCAAGAAAAAGAAAAAAAGACAUCUAUCUUUGUUUAAUGAUGUUUUGGUUGUGUCUAGUAUCCUGAAUAAAAAAAAGUUUAAGAUAAAAUAUAUCGUCCCACUGCAUUACUUGUUGGUCAUUGAUGAUGUAGACCAAGUCAAGAUAAACCUCCUCUUUUGGCCCAAUGGAAAUUUUGUGGCCACCUUUCGUUCAAAAGAACAAAAAGACCAAUGGGAUUAUUUUCUGAAAAAAUCCAUUAAUGAAGCUAAGAAGGAUACCAAGAAAAAUUUCUCACUGCAGAUAUUCACUGAGGACAUCCCAAGCUGUGACACUCCUUUAUAUGUAACAGCAACAAACAUCGAGACUGUGAAUGAUAUAAUUGAGAAGAAGUUACUACCAAUGAUAAGAAUGCCUAACAGUGAAGAUUACCAACUGUGGUUCUGUCCUGGCCCUGAGGAAACUCCAAGAGCACUCCAAGGCCAUGAGUAUCCACAUGACAUCAUAAUUACCAAUCAUCAAAAUAACUUCAGAAGAACAAACUCAAGAACUUUCACAGCUUUUCCAGCCUUACCUGGGUUGGUUGUGAAAGACUUAAAUUUAGAUUCACAGGGGAAAUUCAUCUUAAAGCCCCGAGACUCAGCUAAGAGCCAGCAACAAAAGGUAAAGGAAAGAUCUUCUAAAAAACAUUGCCCAUUUUUGACAUGCUGUUUACAUAGGGGCUCUGUGCCCCACCAUGACAAAGUGUGCACUGGCCCAUCUCUUUAAUAGAGGAAAACUGGACAAGACUUGACUCCCCAUGUAAAGACAAAAAGUGGUCCACAACAACUAUGGUCAUCCUCUCUAAUAAAAGAGAAAGACCCCAUAACACAGGGUGUUUUCAUGACACCUCUGAAUGGAACAUUAUGGAAAUAAUUGAAAGAACAACUUGAUUCUUGGGAAGAGGUGGAUAUAAGAGGUGGAUAUAAAGAAAGCACUCUGUGCAUGAAGUGGCCUGGAUU